Molecule: long non-coding RNA, 1985 nt
Organism: Canis lupus familiaris (dog)
Lineage: Eukaryota; Metazoa; Chordata; Mammalia; Carnivora; Canidae
Exons: 2
Source: RefSeq, a predicted model, not a curated record
UGAGCCCCGUGAUGGGGCUCCCGGAGCGCCUCCCCGCUUUCCUGGGCGUGAGCUGGGCCUCCGAGGGCUUGCGAGCCCUUCCAACCCCAUCAAUUCCUAUUGUGUUAUCUAGGGAGACUGGAGUGGUGGGCAGGAAACGACUGGGGAGUCCAGGAAAAGAUAAUUAAGUGCAUAAGUUUGGGGGCAGACGGCACGAGCGCGGUCGGAAUCGGGUGCAGGUGCGGCGGAGGCCGAGGCGCACACUCACGACCCGAGAGGUCUGUCCGCCUAGCAGGGGCCUCGGGGGGCGCUCCAGCCCCCGCGACCGUGUCUCCGGCCUGCUCCGGGAUCUUCCGACAGUUUCUUAAAAAAAAAAAAAAGAAAGAAAGAAAGAAAAUGUUUCAAAAAACAUUUUAUUUUUAUUUGAGAGGGAGGGAGAGAGAGAGAACGACAGCAGGGGGAGGGGCGGAGCUCCGUGUAGGGCUCCCUCCUGGGGCUCCAUCCCGGGGCUCCACCAGGGACUCUCUUCUGGGACUCUGUGAUCAUGACCUGAGCCGAAGGCUGACCCUUCACCAACUCAGCCACCCAGAAAGAAUUAUCAAUGAAGAGCCCAACAGAAGAAUCAGCAGCAGGAAAGAAUCAUCAAUCACAGGCUCCUGCAAGGGAAAGAUGUAUUUCGUAUCUCUGACAACAUCUCCACUACCCCUGCAACUCAGCCCUUUGGAAACCAUCAUGACCUGGACUUCUGCUAUUUUUUCCCCCCCAAUGGACUUUUGUUUGGAAAAAACCCUCCCAGCUUCAUUCUUCUUCUGCACAAAAUAAUGUUCCUCUUUGUUUGUUGCAUGUCCAGAAUUGGAAUUCUGUUAUUCCUGAAAAAAACCAUUUUUUUUGCUAGUAAAAUAACUGAUAGUUUUAUUUUUCAGGUUAAAACUCCAAAAAACUGUCUUUAAAUUCCCUCCUGCACUCCCCAAGCAUCCUGCAUUUCUCAUUCUGUAGUUAAUUGUGUGCUUUUUCAGGGCAGGAACAUAAGUAGCUUAUUCGUCUUUGUUUCACCUAUAUACCUUGUGCAGUACCUGCUUCAGAGUAGACCCCGCAUAAAUGUCUGUUAACAUGUUAGGAUUGUAAAGCCUGAAGUUCAGCUGUGGGUUAAUGAAGAGAGUGGAACAUUUAGGAGUGUGACUAGAUAGGAGGGGUUGUGGUAGAAAAACAGGAGGAGGAAAAUCAGAGGGGUGAGGAAUAAUAUAUUAUCAUGGAGGCCACUGGAGGCCCAUUCCUUAUUUAUUUACCAACCAUCUCUGCAAAAACACCAUGUGCUUGAUGAUAACAUGUUGGCACCAGUAUGGACAAAGGCAAGGAGCUAGGUGAGUGCUGCGUUGUGAAAAGAGAAGUGAAUAGCCCAGUUGGUUGGAGACAGGGCAUGUAGAUUACAGUGGUGGGAUCCAGGAUUGAGAAGGCAAAGUUGGGUCAUUUUGUACCUGAAAAAUUUGCAUAAUCAGGAAGCAAUUGUGAGGGUACUUUGCAGGGGGGUCAGAUGAACAGAGUGGUACUCCAGGAUGGUUACUCUGCAGCACUUGGCAAUGCGAUAUAAGCCAUGAGCUUUGGCUAUUUUUUUUUUUUUUUGGUAAUACGAGUAACUGACAAAAGAUAGUUAUUUCAAAUAAACACAUUGCCAACCACAAGACUAGACAAAGAGCCAGCCCCACUGCCCCCUAGGCUCCUUUGUGAACUUGGUUGAUUUCAAUAAGUGACCAUUUGGGCCACUUGCCUUUUCUCUUCCUGAGCUUUAAAUUCCACACUCUUAUAUUUUAAAUUUUCUAAUAAAGAGUGAGCCUAUAAAACCCUAGCCCCCCACACUUGGCUCUGAUAAAAGCAGAAAACCUGCCUGUGCAUACUUGUAUGCUCGCCAUCCUCCUUCCCCCUGCCCUGUGUGACCUCGCUAUGUGGUUCCAGGUGUGCUGUGUGAUUUCCAGGUCUUAUAAAUAAUAAAUCUCUAUUGUUUCAAAGUU